GACGAACGCUGGCGGCGUGCUUAACACAUGCAAGUCGAACGGUAAGGCCCUUCGGGGUACACGAGUGGCGAACGGGUGAGUAACACGUUGGUGAUCUGCCCUGCACUUCGGGAUAAGCCUGGGAAACUGGGUCUAAUACCGGAUAGGACCACUGCCUGCAUGGGUGGUGGUGGAAAGCUUUUGCGGUGUGGGAUGGGCCCGCGGCCUAUCAGCUUGUUGGUGGGGUGAUGGCCUACCAAGGCGACGACGGGUAGCCGGCCUGAGAGGGUGACCGGCCACACUGGGACUGAGAUACGGCCCAGACUCCUACGGGAGGGAGCAGUGGGGAAUAUUGCACAAUGGGCGCAAGCCUGAUGCAGCAACGCCGCGUGAGGGAUGACGGCCUUCGGGUUGUAAACCUCUUUCAGCACCGACGAAGCGCAAGUGACGGUAGGUGCAGAAGAAGGACCGGCCAACUACGUGCCAGCCGCCGCGGUAA
Molecule: ribosomal RNA, 478 nt
Filed under: uncultured bacterium
Lineage: Bacteria
Description: partial 16S ribosomal RNA
Rfam family: Bacterial small subunit ribosomal RNA
Source: RNAcentral